UACGGAGGAUCCAAGCGUUAUCCGGAUUUAUUGGGUUUAAAGGGUGCGUAGGCGGCUUUGUAAGUCAGUGGUGAAAGCCUUCAGCUUAACUGGAGAAAUGCCAUUGAUACUGCAGGGCUUGAGUACAGAUGAAGUGGGCGGAAUGUGUCAAGUAGCGGUGAAAUGCAUAGAUAUGACACAGAACACCGAUUGCGAAGGCAGCUCACUAAGGUGUAACUGACGCUGAGGCACGAAAGCGUGGGGAUCAAACAGG
Molecule: ribosomal RNA, 253 nt
Filed under: uncultured Solitalea sp.
Lineage: Bacteria; Pseudomonadati; Bacteroidota; Sphingobacteriia; Sphingobacteriales; Sphingobacteriaceae
Description: partial 16S ribosomal RNA
Rfam family: Bacterial small subunit ribosomal RNA
Source: RNAcentral